This 585-nucleotide small RNA is filed under the name Pongo abelii (Sumatran orangutan). RNAcentral describes it as "retained intron". Lineage: Eukaryota; Metazoa; Chordata; Mammalia; Primates; Hominidae. The record is from RNAcentral.
AAGGCAGCGGCGCGGCGCGGCGCCUUUGUGGUAGCAGUGGCCCCGCGCGGAGGAAGUUCCGGUCCCCGCGGCGCUGGGUCGGUGGCGGAGGCUGAGGAGAAGGAGGAGCGGGCCGUGGAGGCUUCGCCGCCUAGGUACAGCUAUAACCAGAAUUUGGUAGAAAAAGGAUCUACUUGUUGGGGCCCUCUUGAUAAAAAGAGAUGUGGGGGGAUCCUCGACCUGCUAACAGAACUGGACCUUUUCGGUAAGCUCUCAAAUUUGAAUAUUGAAAUUGCCAGUAUUUUAAUUAUAAAUGUGUAACAUUUUCGCCUACUAUAAAUGAAGAUAUUUUCUCUGUGGAGAAAUAGUUUCUGAUUUUUUAAAAAUAGAAAUUCGGCUGGGCGCAUUGGCUCACGCCUGUAAUCCCAGCACUUUGGGAGGCUUAGGCGGGCAGAUCACGAGGUCAGGAGAUCGAGACCAUCCUGGCUAUCACGGUGAAACCCCAUCUCUAUUAAAAAAUACAAAAAAAUUAGCCGGGCGUGGUGGCGGGCGCCUGUAGUCCCAGCUACUCGGGAGGCUGAAGCAGGAGAAUGGCGUGAACCUGGG